Molecule: ribosomal RNA, 377 nt
Filed under: Psycheotrephes exigua
Lineage: Eukaryota; Metazoa; Echinodermata; Holothuroidea; Elasipodida; Psychropotidae
Description: partial 12S ribosomal RNA
Rfam family: Bacterial small subunit ribosomal RNA
Source: RNAcentral
ACUAUACCUUAAAACAAAAAUUUUCACCAGAGUAAUACGCCUAAACAGUUAAAACUCUAAGAACUUGGCGGUUUUUUAGAUUCUAAUCGAAGGAGUUUGUUAUUAAAUUGAUACCCCACAAGGAACCUUACCUUUCCCUAGAAUUAACAGCUUGUAUACCAUCGUCGCCAGCUAACCUUCAAAGAACUAAAGCUUGUUGAACACCUUCUCAACGUCAGAUCAAGGUGCAGCUUAUGGGAAGAGGAAAUAAUGAGCUACUAUACCAAAUAAGUUAGAGGAUAUAUUAAUUAAAUAUCUAUAUUGAAAAAGGAUUCGAUAGUAACCACACUAAAGAAAAAGAAAGUGAAACUAGCUCUAAAAUACGCACAUACCGCCCG